Myodes glareolus (Bank vole) is the source of this 2579-nucleotide RNA transcript. RefSeq lists it as uncharacterized. Lineage: Eukaryota; Metazoa; Chordata; Mammalia; Rodentia; Cricetidae. The record is from RefSeq and is a predicted model, not a curated record.
CCCUGGGUUUGGAGAAAGUGAACUCUCUGUACUCACAACUUUAGCUACCCUGCCUGUCUAUGAUGCAAUGGGCGGGGCUAGAGGAAAGGUGGCUGUGACCUGGGCUGACCUUCAUAAUCAGGGAAGCCUUGGGCCCUGUGUCUGCUGGUGUGGGCACAGACGUGGUGUGGCCAGGCGAGAAGUGAGCUCUGCCAGGCAGAUCACUGGGUGUGAACGAGUUCUCUGGGGAGUCACGGGAGGGUUGGCCUGGCCUGACUUGUUAGGGCUGCCAACACAGAGGCUUUGACCCUGAGAAGGAUCAGAAGACCCUGAAUGUAAAAGGGCUUGUCACACAAGUCUGAAAACCUGAGUUAGUUCUCAGGAGCUCUCAGAGCUGUCAGAAUCAACCAUUGCAACUCCCACUGAGCAGCAGCCAGGCUGAAAGAGCCACAGCCUGAGGGAAUUCUGUUCCUUCAGGCACCGACUCUCAAAACUCAGAAGAGAACCUAUCUAAAUCUCCGUCCCUCUAAAGAACUGAUUCAAAGGCUGAGGUGGAAUCCUGCUCCCCAGAGGGGCUGAAGAGCAAGCGGCUCACCUAGCUCACCUCCUCUCCCUCCUUGCAUCUCUCCAGAGCCCUCCUGCUUCUCCUCACCCUACUUUAAAACCCUUCCCCACCUGACUUCUCCCUACAACUUUCUGUCCGCCUCCUGACCGCAGGCGGAUUUUAUUUAAUCAGACACAUCUCUGCAUCAGUAAAUCAAUGUUCUAGCGCAGAAGCAAAAGUAGCACACCUCAGAAUCAUGUUCUCCAACACAGAACUAUGGAGUCUGGGCCUGGAAAGAGGGUUAGGACUGGGGCUCAGGGGUCGAGACUGCUCUCUCUGACAUGGCAACUAGUUGCCACGUUAACCUAGAGUUGGUUUCCUCCAGAAAUGGAUGAGUCUGACAUUCAGAUGUUAAUUCUAGAAACUGAGGCUGACAAAGCCAACCUUUUUGUAGGAUUUCCAAGAGAGAUAACUGAAUCUGAAGUCGAAAUGGUCCAUAAUGUGCUUUGAUCCGAUUCUCAAAAAUCCUGUAUACUGUCAAAAUGUCAAUUUCAAGUUUAAUUCUAGGACUCUUCUGUAUGGAGAUGAGGCAGGCAAGCACCGUUACAUCAGGACUGACGGGGGCAACACGGAAAGAGAGAGGAGACCAGGCUGUGCAGAGGAGAUGGCCCUUUCCUGGGACGGUGAAGGGCAGUGGGCUCUCGGCGGGAGUGGCUCAAGAGUUACAGGACAGAAAAACUUUGGGGGUGGAAGAUGCCAUCUGCAGGUCUGCUCCCUGUGGUCUCAAAGUGGUAAACACCAAGGGGGUUACUAUGUUGAUCUUUUGCCUGAAGCCUCCUGGAUUCUACAAGCCCAGGGUGUUGCCUCGAGUCAACUUUUGUGCCCAGGGUUUCUCAGCCCUCCUGAGGUUUUGGGGCUACUAGCCGUUUGAAUAUAAUAAUUAUCUUAGCAACCUGGGACUGCACUUGCCGAGGGAUAGAGAUUUCAUCCCUCGCGGAAAAGAAAGGUUUAUCAGCCUGCUAGCAACCCAGGCGCCACAGCCAACACUAACUGCGCUGGACCCUGCACUAAACUGGGCAACCGUUUCUCCUCUUAGCAUCUUCUAGACAAAUGGCAACUGUGUGCAAUGGGCUGAUCCAGCCUAGACUGGUUUCGGGUGGAUGCACAAUAAAGCAAAUUGUGUCCUCUUAAGUGACCAGUUCUGGAGAUUCCCUUGCCUGUGAUGAUAUUCCUGGGCACAAUUUUCAUGUACAUGGCAAAUUAUGGAACUGAAUCUUUCAACCAAAAUAGAACUUAACUCGAGGCCCCUUUAGCAACUGCAUUAGUGAGCGUUCUCUAGAGUCACAGAACUUAUGGAGUGAAUCUCUCACGCUUAUAUAUAUAAGGGAAUUUAUUGGAAUGGUUUGCAGACUGCAACCCAGCAAUGGCUAGCCGUGAAUGGAAAGUCAAGAAUCAAGAGUUGCUCCGUCCCAUGAGGCUGGGGUCUCAGCUGGUCUCCUGGACUGGAUGGAAUCCUGAAGAAGUAGGCUCCGAUGCCAGAGAAGGACUGGACGUGAUGACAGGUGAGGCCAGCAGGCAGAGAAUGAAUUUCCCCUCUUCCUUCUUUCAUGUCCAUUCCAGGAUGUUGGCCCACAUUAAAGGUGUGCCUUCCAACCUCAAGAUCUGGAUCAAAGGCAUGUUCAUGUCUUCUUGUUUCAAUGUCUGGAUCACAAGUAAGCCCUUCAUUUCUGGAUUAUCGUUCAUUCCAGAUAUAGUCAAGUUGACAACCAGGAAUAGCCAUCAGAGAAACCAAACUUCUCUGGAACCCCAUACAAGGAGGCUGCAAGUGACCAAAGAGGCCAAAAGGAGGUGUGGGACCCCCUGAGCUGCAGAUCCAGGUACUGAGGACCACUAGGCACGGGUAUUGAGAACUAAACUCAGGUCCUCUGAAAGAACAUCAGGUGCCCUUAACUCCGAGUCAUCUCUCCAGCUCUCCCCGCCCCCACAUUACUCUUGAUAGUGUGUUAGUCUCUAAUCAGCACUAUCACUUUGCUCUGAAUAAAGUACUUGUGCUACA